This 497-nucleotide ribosomal RNA is filed under the name uncultured bacterium. Its description in RNAcentral is "partial 16S ribosomal RNA". It matches the Rfam family "Bacterial small subunit ribosomal RNA", at positions 28 to 507 of the family's 1533-position model. The record is from RNAcentral.
GAUGAACGCGGGCGGCGUGCCUAAUACAUGCAAUUCGAGCGAACGGACGAGAAGCUUGCUUCUCUGAUGUUAGCGGCGGACGGGUGAGUAACACGUGGAUAACCUACCUAUAAGACUGUGAUAACUUCGGGAAACCGGAGCUAAUACCGGAUAAUAUUUUGAACCGCAUGGUUCAAGAGUGAAAGACGGUCUUGCUGUCACUUAUAGAUGGAUCCGCGCUGCAUUAGCUAGUUGGUAAGGUAACGGCUUACCAAGGCAACGAUGCAUAGCCGACCUGAGAGGGUGAUAGGCCACACUGGAACUGAGACACGGUCCAGACUCCUACGGGAGGCAGCAGUAGGGAAUCUUACGCAAUGGGCGAAAGCCUGACGGAGCAACGCCGCGUGAGUGAUGAAGGUCUUCGGAUCGUAAAACUCUGUUAUUAGGGAAGAACAUAUGUGUAAGUAACUGUGCACAUCUUGACGGUAACUAAUCAGAAAGCAACGGCUAACUACGUG